UAACAUAUUCUUAGAUGUGAUGUUUUUAUAUAUUCUGUGUUUUUCUUAAGAUAUUUUUGAAUUUUCAUCUUUUUCCCUCUUUUUUCUUUACUAUUUUCAUCUCUUUAGAAAGUAGGAGCUGAUCUAUUUCCCUCUUUUUCUUUACUAUUUUCAUCUCUUUAUUAAUAUAUUAUUUUACUAUUGAAAAAAGAAAAGAAAACUAAU
This 204-nucleotide long non-coding RNA is filed under the name Lathyrus oleraceus (garden pea). RNAcentral's name for it is "Pisum sativum (pea) long non-coding RNA (PSAT_LNC038193)". The record is from RNAcentral. Lineage: Eukaryota; Viridiplantae; Streptophyta; Magnoliopsida; Fabales; Fabaceae.